This is a non-coding RNA of Mesocricetus auratus (golden hamster), 73 nucleotides long. NCBI's taxonomy places the organism in Eukaryota, Metazoa, Chordata, Mammalia, Rodentia, Cricetidae. The record is from Rfam.
CUGGAGAUGGCUCAGCGGUUUAGAGCACUGGCUGCUCUUUCAGAGGAUCUGGGUUCAAUUCCCAGCACCCACA